AGCAGCCGCGGUAAUUCCAGCUCCAAUAGCGUAUAUUAAAGUUGUUGCAGUUAAAAAGCUCGUAGUUGAAUUUCGGGAUCAGAAGGUUGGUCAUGCCUUUGGUAUGUACUGGUCUCACUGAUUCCUCCCUCUUGAAGAACUGUAAUGUCAUUAAUUUGGUGUUGCGGGGAAUCAGGACUGUUACUUUGAAAAAAGUUAGAGUGUUAAAGCAGGCCUAAGCUUGAAUACAUUAGCAUGGAAUAAUGAAAUAGGACGUUUGAUCCUAUUUUGUUGGUUUCUAGGAUUGACGUAAUGAUUAAUAGGGAUAGUUGGGGGCAUUAGUAUUCAAUUGUCAGAGGUGAAAUUCUUGGAUUUAUUGAAGACUAACUACUGCGAAAGCAUUUGCCAAGGAUGUUUUCAUUAAUCAAGAACGAAAGUUAGGGGAUCGAAGACGAUCAGAUACCGUCGUAGUCUUAACCAUAAACUAUGCCGACUAGGGAUCGGAUGAUGUUAAUUUUUUUAAUGACUCAUUCGGCGCCUU
RNAcentral lists this ribosomal RNA (520 nucleotides) under uncultured Glomus. RNAcentral describes it as "SSU rRNA". It matches the Rfam family "Eukaryotic small subunit ribosomal RNA", at positions 569 to 1089 of the family's 1831-position model. The record is from RNAcentral. Lineage: Eukaryota; Fungi; Glomeromycota; Glomeromycetes; Glomerales; Glomeraceae.